AAGUCUGGUGCCAGCAGCCGCGGUAAUUCCAGCUCCAAUAGCGUAUAUUAAAGUUGCUGCAGUUAAAAAGCUCGUAGUUGAAUUUCNNNACCAAUAUGUCGGUCGUGCUUCGGUACGUACUGUCAUAAUUGGUUUCUCCCUUCUGAAGAACCUUGAUGUCAUUAAUUUGGUGUCUUGGGGAAUCAGGACUGUUACUUUGAAAAAAUUAGAGUGUUUAAAGCAGGCUCGCGCUUGAAUACAUUAGCAUGGAAUAAUGAAAUAGGACGUUUGAUUCUAUUUUGUUGGUUUCUAGGAUCGACGUAAUGAUUAAUAGGGAUAGUUGGGGGCAUUAGUAUUCAAUUGUCAGAGGUGAAAUUCUUGGAUUUAUUGAAGACUAACUACUGCGAAAGCAUUUGCCAAGGAUGUUUUCAUUAAUCAAGAACGAAAGUUAGGGGAUCGAAGACGAUCAGAUACCGUCGUAGUCUAACCAUAAA
RNAcentral lists this ribosomal RNA (473 nucleotides) under uncultured Glomus. RNAcentral describes it as "SSU rRNA". It matches the Rfam family "Eukaryotic small subunit ribosomal RNA", at positions 557 to 1036 of the family's 1831-position model. The record is from RNAcentral. Lineage: Eukaryota; Fungi; Glomeromycota; Glomeromycetes; Glomerales; Glomeraceae.